Long non-coding RNA from Nycticebus coucang (slow loris), 791 nucleotides. RefSeq lists it as uncharacterized. The record is from RefSeq and is a predicted model, not a curated record. Lineage: Eukaryota; Metazoa; Chordata; Mammalia; Primates; Lorisidae. The transcript is spliced from 2 exons.
CCGCGGAGCCCCGGGCAGGGGCAGAAGCAGAAUGGUAGUGUCAAGAAGCCUUUGAAACUGCGGAAGGGGUGAUCAACCGUCGCUGAAAGAGUUUGGCUAGCGCGGGGCCAGUGGCGCAAUGGAUAACGCGUCUGACUACGGAUCAGAAGAUUCUAGGUUCGACUCCUGGCUGGCUCGCAGUGUUCUCUUUUUGCACAUCUGAGCCAGGUGUCACAAGACUUCUUUGGAAAUAUUUAUGGCUAGAAUAUGAAAGCUAACUGUCUCGAAUUUGAAUGCUGAUUUGUCCAAAAUGUCAUCUUUUAAGCUAUUUGGGACGCGGAGUUGUCUGAGGUGGUUUGCAAGUUGCAAAGCGGCUACUCUUAAUCAUGCACAUGAGUCGUCUCUGCAAAUGAGGAACUUUGCGGAAAGGACACCGGGAAAGGUGGCAGUUUGGGGUGGAAACUGCUGUAGCUAGCUGUCGGAUGACGCAAAAGUACAUUUAAGGCGGCAAUUCUGGCCUGUUUUCCCCGUGGAGCAGAACUCCCCCAUGGUGACGCAGAAGCGGCGUUGUCCGUGUUUUCCAAAAUGGGUGCCUGGCUUGGAGACCCUGGAAGGCCCGAAACGUCAGCGGCCUAAAGAGGGGACUCGAACCCUGAGAUUAUAUGAGUUACCGGACAAUGGUCCAUUAAGUAGUCACUCGAUCGAUCAGUUAAUUUCUCCAAUAUAACACCCUUUCUCCUGAGUAAAUUAUAGACAAUUUGUAAAAUACAGGAAAUUAUUGGAAAUAAAAAUGACGCGAAUUCCCACCGCGA